Molecule: transfer RNA, 71 nt
Filed under: Loxodonta africana (African savanna elephant)
Lineage: Eukaryota; Metazoa; Chordata; Mammalia; Proboscidea; Elephantidae
Rfam family: tRNA
About the family: Transfer RNA (tRNA) molecules are approximately 80 nucleotides in length. Their secondary structure includes four short double-helical elements and three loops (D, anti-codon, and T loops). Further hydrogen bonds mediate the characteristic L-shaped molecular structure. tRNAs have two regions of fundamental functional importance: the anti-codon, which is responsible for specific mRNA codon recognition, and the 3' end, to which the tRNAs corresponding amino acid is attached (by aminoacyl-tRNA synthetases). tRNAs cope with the degeneracy of the genetic code in two manners: having more than one tRNA (with a specific anti-codon) for a particular amino acid; and 'wobble' base-pairing, i.e. permitting non-standard base-pairing at the 3rd anti-codon position.
Source: Rfam by way of RNAcentral
GCAUUGGGGGUUCAGCGGUGGAGUUCUCGCCUUCCAUGUGGGAGGCCCUGGUUUGAUUCCUGGCCCGCGCA